GAUGAAGAACGUAGCGAAAUGAGAUAAGUAGUGUGAAUUGCAGAAUUCAGUGAAUCAUCGAAUCUUUGAACGCACAUUGCGCCCCUUGGUAUUCCAUGGGGCAUGCCUGUUCGAGCGUCAUUUGUACCUUCAAGCUCUGCUUGGUGUUGGGUGUUUGUCUCGCCUCUGCGCGUAGACUCGCCUCAAAACAAUUGGCAGCCGGCGUAUUGAUUUCGGAGCGCAGUACAUCUCGCGCUUUGCACUCAUAACGACGACGUCCAAAAGUACAUUUUUACACUCUUGACCUCGGAUCAGGAAGGGAUACCCGCUGAACUUAAGCAUAUCAAUAAGCGGAGGA
RNAcentral lists this unclassified non-coding RNA (337 nucleotides) under soil metagenome. Its description in RNAcentral is "partial contains 5.8S ribosomal RNA, internal transcribed spacer 2, and large subunit ribosomal RNA". The stretch from base 1 to 120 matches the Rfam family "5.8S ribosomal RNA", at positions 35 to 154 of the family's 154-position model. The record is from RNAcentral.